Molecule: non-coding RNA, 3600 nt
Organism: Taeniopygia guttata (zebra finch)
Lineage: Eukaryota; Metazoa; Chordata; Aves; Passeriformes; Estrildidae
Source: RefSeq, a predicted model, not a curated record
GGGGGGGGGGAGAGAUAGCAAACACAGCAAAUACAGUUACCCUUGACAGACACGGCUGUGUCCAACGAUGGAAACAAUAGCUUCAUCACUUUAAAACUGGCAAAAUUUAAUCACUCGCAAAAACACACACUACAAAAAUCUAUCAUUAAGAGUUGAGGAAAUCUAUCCUGAAAGACCUUAAGAUACUUGGAAAGCAAAAGCACCUGCAUAUUGAACUAUAAAUGAGCAGAACUCUUUUAGAGCAGAACAUGCGGCCCACGCUCUGCGCCCCCGGCGGUCCGGGCUCUCGCCGUGCUGCAGACGAAGAACCCGGCAGAGCGGGAGAGCGGAGAGAAGCGACUGGGGCAAACAGACUGUCUCAUCAUCUCAAGAAGGGGAACAUCUCUAUUGCACUUAAGAAGAUGAGGCAAUAGAGCCCAAAAGUACUGAGACAGCACCAGUGAUCUGAAUCUUGAAAUUUUAUUCCCUGGGAAACGAGUCAGGAAGGAAAAGGCAGAGCUUGCCUCCAGCUGAAGUCUUUGAGAUUGGUCAGAUUCAACGUGUUACAAACAAACAUAUUCCACCUGUUACAACAAUCUGGCAUAUUACUUCCUUGAUACGUGAUGAUACAAUACCUCUCAGGUUUGCUGAGUAGCAAAGAGAAAUAGUAAUGUCAGGAUAACUCACUGGUUGGAAAUUAUUUACAAUGCCUCAACAAUGAAUGGGAAAUCAAAACAUUAAAUACUGCAAGCAAGAAGACCAUCCUAUUUUGCACUGAAAAAGAAGAAAAACAAACAACGGGUGGAACUUCACUGCAAAUGUUGUCUUACGAAGUGUCCCUGUAUCAGGAAGCUGUCAGAAUGUCCUGAAUUGGAAGGAUGUGGGAAAGGAUCACUGAACCCUGUUCCUGGUCCUGCACAGAAAAACCCCAAGAAUCACACCAUGUGCUAUGUUCCAGGUCUUAGCUGAUUGUAUUCAAAGAGUCUUAUUUUCCUGCAAUAUAUUAUGAAUGGCUUUGGAAGAAACACCUGGAAAUGCUAAUAUUGUGUGGUGACAGCAAAAUGCUGGAAUAAAAGAGGGAAGAAGCUGGAUAUCCUGGCAGUUCUGCAGUACACCAAGUCUGUUAUUUCUGUUCUGUCUUUAUAAUGGCCAUAAAAUAUGAGCUGGGAGUAUGAUGUCAAUGCAUCCACUUUCAAUAAUUGAUAUGAUGAAUAAUCUCAACCUUCUGACACUUUCUGUAUCUUCUCACAUCUCAGGAAACUUCAUUCAUCAACCACAUUUGAAAUGUUUAAGUAAUCUCAGUGAUGUAUGGAGCACUGAAACUCCCUUGUUAGAAAUCUAUGCUACUAACAUUCUAUCAAAUUAAAAAGCCACUGAGCUCUUGUGCAUAAAAUUAUCAUAAAUUAUCUCUGAAGGUUCAUUGCUGUUUGGAAUGUUUAAUUGCUCACUCAGCUGAACUUCAGCAGCUCAAGAUUAUUAAUCAAUUUGUCAGAAGGUUUCUCAUAAUGUCAUAUUUUACACUGUGGUUAUAUGCAAGGAAAACCCAUGUGCAAGACAGUUUUAUGCAGCAAGUCAAAAGUAUCCAUGCAUACCUUUCACAAUAUUCAUUUCAUAUAUUUAUGAGGGUAUUUUUCAGUUGUUGAUUUCUCACAAAACAUAAGAAAAUUGUAAUUACCUCAGUCUAAUUUAUCUGGGUGGAAAACUAGAUUCUCAAAAAUAUAUUUAAAAGUAAAAUGGAGACAGAUAAUAAAAUGUAACUAUUGAAUCAUUCAAUCCUGGCCUACUGUUGAUUGUCUUCACUACAAUAAAUAUUCUUCUAAAUGCAGUAAAGAUGUUUUGAAAAUGCCAUACCUUAAAUGUACAUGAACAGCAUCUUCAGCCAUUUUUCUUGCACAAAUGCACAGAAUGCAUUUUUGUUUUAAAGUAAUUUUUCAGGAGAGAAUUUAACUUUGAUGUACUAAACCAUGUAUUUCAUCUUAAUUGAAACACAUGUUCCAUUAUUUGCAUUGAAUAUUUUUUAUUAUUUUAAUGGUUAUCAAUUCAUCCUUUUUAUACAGUUUUCUUUCUUUUGUUUUACAAAUGCAUAAGACUUAUUUUUCAAGUGUAUAAGACUUUAUUAAUGGGCUGAUGGUAAUAUUUUUAUUUGCAAAUUUUUUUAUCCGUCAUUUCUUUUAGGAGAAACAUAGAAGUAGAGGAUUCUGCAUUUCCUGUUCUGGAGAAUUCAAAAGUGUUUUAGAGAAACAUAUUUAAUUCUCCUGAAGCCAUUUUAUUUUCUUAAACCAGAAAAGUUUCAAAAUAUAAAGACUGGAAAAACCAUGGACAUUAUCCACUUUUUCUACUCCAUGAAUGAUCAUCAUAUUAUUCCCACGCAUGUGGAAAGAUAGAGGAUGAAAGCCAACAUGUAGUUAAUAAAUGUCAAGUAUCUAUUUGAUCUUAAGUAUUUAUGUAUAAAUAAAGUAUAUCAUACAUGGUAUUUCUACCAAAAACUGAAAAUGAAAGAAAAUAUCAGGUUGGGUGUUUGUUUUGUCAAGCUUCUUGCAUGAAAUUAAAAUAUUGGAAUGAUAAAUAUUCUUGUGUGUCAAAAACAAAUGGUCCAGUUAUCAGAAAUUUGCUGUGAACUGGCAUUAGUAUUUUUUUAUUCAUGUUUUUCUACUGUAUUUCUUCAAAGCCUUUCUUAAAAUCUAUUAUGUCCUUUAGCUGAUGAUAAAAUGGAAACAAAACAAAAGUAAUAAAUAAAUCACCUACAUUUUCUGACAUCUGGGGUUAUAAAAGCACAUCACAACAAAUGCAAAGCAGAUCCUUGGUACAAUUUCAUCACCAUUACCCAGCUCCAUUACAACAAAACUUCUAACACCAAAAAAUAAAGAUUGUCAUUAUGUUUGGCUUUGAUUCAACUCCAAAAUGAUAUGCUGAAGAUUGAGUAUAAUAUCGUCUGAAGAAAUAGGAAGAGAAGCCAGAUCUUCAGAUUCCCAAUAAUAUGUCUUAACACAUGAAUCCUUCCUUCAUCACCCUGCUCAACAGUGAUGCCUUACAGAUGAACAACUGAGCUGUGAUUAAACAGCUUAUAGACUUUUCAGCAUUUGUUUCUUUCUUUUAAUCUUUUCAUUAUACAAGUCUGCCAUAGCAUAUAUUAGCACUAGGAAAAUAUAGGAAUUAGAAAUGCAGAGACGAACAUGUUUAAAAUGCACUAUGUAUGUGGCAGAUCACAAUUUCUAGAAACAUUCAUUUCUGUAAGGUCUUUGUAGUUCUUCCUUUAUCCAACAUCAAUUUAUUUUGCCAUUGAUUACUUCAAAUCAACUUGGAUUGAACAUACUAUUUUAACAUAUUAUGCACUUUCCCAAACCUGCACAUACUUGGCUCAAAUUACCUCAGAACCAUGCUGAAAACAAACUCAUCACUAAGAAUUGAGACUGUUACUGUUUCAAUGAAAAGAAAUUGAGGACCAGACAGGAGUUUUGUAUAUUAAAAAGGUUAGGCAUUUCUGACCAUGUACAGAGAAAAUUAAAGUGGUGCUGUAAUUAGCUCAUCGAUAAAUCAAUAGGUCUGAAUGAUAACUGGAAUGGUUUGGAUGUCAAGAAUCCAGAAGCUUAUUAUGUGUGUAAUAAAGAUCAAGGCACAUAA